RNAcentral lists this ribosomal RNA (508 nucleotides) under Pseudomonas sp. Its description in RNAcentral is "bacterial SSU rRNA". It matches the Rfam family "Bacterial small subunit ribosomal RNA", at positions 232 to 732 of the family's 1533-position model. Lineage: Bacteria; Pseudomonadati; Pseudomonadota; Gammaproteobacteria; Pseudomonadales; Pseudomonadaceae. The record is from RNAcentral.
GAUGUCGGAUUAGCUAGUUGGCGGGGUAAAGGCCCACCAAGGCGACGAUCCGUAGCUGGUCUGAGAGGAUGAUCAGCCACACUGGAACUGAGACACGGUCCAGACUCCUACGGGAGGCAGCAGUGGGGAAUAUUGGACAAUGGGCGCAAGCCUGAUCCAGCCAUACCGCGUGGGUGAAGAAGGCCUUCGGGUUGUAAAGCCCUUUUGUUGGGAAAGAAAUCCAGCCGGCUAAUACCCGGUUGGGAUGACGGUACCCAAAGAAUAAGCACCGGCUAACUUCGUGCCAGCAGCCGCGGUAAUACGAAGGGUGCAAGCGUUACUCGGAAUUACUGGGCGUAAAGCGUGCGUAGGUGGUCGUUUAAGUCCGUUGUGAAAGCCCUGGGCUCAACCUGGGAACUGCAGUGGAUACUGGGCGACUAGAGUGUGGUAGAGGGUAGCGGAAUUCCUGGUGUAGCAGUGAAAUGCGUAGAGAUCAGGAGGAACAUCCAUGGCGAAGGCAGCUACCUGG